This 347-nucleotide unclassified non-coding RNA is filed under the name uncultured Olpidium. RNAcentral's name for it is "sequence contains ITS2". Lineage: Eukaryota; Fungi; Olpidiomycota; Olpidiomycetes; Olpidiales; Olpidiaceae. The record is from RNAcentral.
AACGCAUAUUGCGCUCUCCGGCAUUCCGGAGAGCAUGCCUGUUUGAGUAUUGGCCUAAAUGAGAGUCUUCCUUUAAAGAUAUAAAAAAGAACGUUAAGAACCCUCAGUUGAGACUUCUCGACAAUUCAUUGCCGAGUGUUUUAAAAUGCAAUAGUACCGCCACGUUUGCGAACUUGGAGUAAUAUGUGAGCCUGAAAAGGUGACCUCUAUUCUCCUCGGACCACGUAGACCUGUUAAGCGGGAAGUUUUUGAAUGCCGAAUUAUGGGAGACGGUGUUCAAUUGUUCGAGUAACGACGAACGAAAUACACUCAAUCUCAAAUCAGGUAGGAUUACCCGCUGAACUUAA